UUAAUAAUUUAAAGUCUAACCUGCCCACUGUUUUUAUGAAGGGCCGCAGUAUUUUGACUGUGCAAAGGUAGCAUAAUCAUUUGUCUAUUAAAUGUAGACUGGAAUGAAUGGUUGAACGAGGUGUAUACUGUCUCAUUUUUAUAAUUUAAUAAUUUAUGUUUUCAGUUAAAACACUGAAAUUUAAUUAAAGGACGAGAAGACCCUAUAGAUUUUUAUAAUUUUAUAUUUUAAUUAAUUUAGUAUAGAAUUUUAUUUUAUUUAUAAAAUUGUUUGGUUGGGGUGACAUAAAGAUUUGUAUAACUCUUUAAAUAUUAAAACCAUAAAUUUAUGAUUUUUUGAUCCGUUAUUAUUGAUUAAUAGAAUAAGUUACCUUAGGGAUAACAGCGUAAUUUUGUUGGAAAGUUCAUAUUUAUAACAGAGAUUGCGACCUCGAUGUUGAAUUAAAGAAAUGUUUUGGUGCAGUAGCUAAAAUAAUAGGUCUGUUCGACCUUUAAAUCUUUCAUGAUCUGAGUUCA
This 515-nucleotide ribosomal RNA is filed under the name Ululodes quadripunctatus. Its description in RNAcentral is "partial 16S ribosomal RNA". It matches the Rfam family "Bacterial large subunit ribosomal RNA", at positions 1839 to 2613 of the family's 2925-position model. Lineage: Eukaryota; Metazoa; Arthropoda; Insecta; Neuroptera; Myrmeleontidae. The record is from RNAcentral.